RNAcentral lists this unclassified non-coding RNA (366 nucleotides) under uncultured fungus. RNAcentral describes it as "partial contains small subunit ribosomal RNA, internal transcribed spacer 1, and 5.8S ribosomal RNA". The stretch from base 318 to 366 matches the Rfam family "5.8S ribosomal RNA", at positions 1 to 49 of the family's 154-position model. The record is from RNAcentral. Lineage: Eukaryota; Fungi.
UCAAACUUGGUCAUUUAGAGGAAGUAAAAGUCGUAACAAGGUUUCCGUAGGUAAGUGGAAGCUUUCCAUCUUACACCCCUCCAUAGCCCAUACUUACAUCUUUCCAUGCUUGAAUAACGUGCUGACUUUACUCUUAGGUGAACCUGCGGAAGGAUCAUUACCGAGUGCGCCCUUCCGUAAAAAAGAAGGGUACCUCCCGUCCUUUGCUGGGCCCCUAGAGGGCUUAUUUUAAACUUCUGCUUCGGCGGGGUUACCCGCCGAAACACCCUCAAAACUCUUUAUAAACCGUUCCGUCCGAGAGCUUUUAUGAAUUAGAAAACUUUCAACAACGGAUCUCUUGGUUCUGGCAUCGAUGAAGAACGCAGC